RNAcentral lists this ribosomal RNA (1079 nucleotides) under Salmonella enterica. Its description in RNAcentral is "partial 23S ribosomal RNA". It matches the Rfam family "Bacterial large subunit ribosomal RNA", at positions 711 to 1781 of the family's 2925-position model. Lineage: Bacteria; Pseudomonadati; Pseudomonadota; Gammaproteobacteria; Enterobacterales; Enterobacteriaceae. The record is from RNAcentral. RNAcentral also lists the same sequence under 3 other names.
AGACCCGAAACCCGGUGAUCUAGCCAUGGGCAGGUUGAAGGUUGGGUAACACUAACUGGAGGACCGAACCGACUAAUGUUGAAAAAUUAGCGGAUGACCUGUGGCUGGGGGUGAAAGGCCAAUCAAACCGGGAGAUAGCUGGUUCUCCCCGAAAGCUAUUUAGGUAGCGCCUCGUGAAUUCAUCUCCGGGGGUAGAGCACUGUUUCGGCUAGGGGGCCAUCCCGGCUUACCAACCCGAUGCAAACUGCGAAUACCGGAGAAUGUUAUCACGGGAGACACACGGCGGGUGCUAACGUCCGUCGUGAAGAGGGAAACAACCCAGACCGCCAGCUAAGGUCCCAAAGUCAUGGUUAAGUGGGAAACGAUGUGGGAAGGCCCAGACAGCCAGGAUGUUGGCUUAGAAGCAGCCAUCAUUUAAAGAAAGCGUAAUAGCUCACUGGUCGAGUCGGCCUGCGCGGAAGAUGUAACGGGGCUAAACCAUGCACCGAAGCUGCGGCAGCGACACUGUGUGUUGUUGGGUAGGGGAGCGUUCUGUAAGCCUGUGAAGGUGUGUCGUGAGGCAUGCUGGAGGUAUCAGAAGUGCGAAUGCUGACAUAAGUAACGAUAAAGCGGGUGAAAAGCCCGCUCGCCGGAAGACCAAGGGUUCCUGUCCAACGUUAAUCGGGGCAGGGUGAGUCGACCCCUAAGGCGAGGCCGAAAGGCGUAGUCGAUGGGAAACGGGUUAAUAUUCCCGUACUUGGUGUUACUGCGAAGGGGGGACGGAGAAGGCUAUGUUGGCCGGGCGACGGUUGUCCCGGUUUAAGCGUGUAGGUGUGUGUUCCAGGUAAAUCCGGUUCACUUUAACACUGAGGCGUGACGACGAGGCACUACGGUGCUGAAGCAACAAAUGCCCUGCUUCCAGGAAAAGCCUCUAAGCAUCAGGUAACAUCAAAUCGUACCCCAAACCGACACAGGUGGUCAGGUAGAGAAUACCAAGGCGCUUGAGAGAACUCGGGUGAAGGAACUAGGCAAAAUGGUGCCGUAACUUCGGGAGAAGGCACGCUGACACGUAGGUGAAGUGAUUUACUCAUGGAGCUGAA